This 1451-nucleotide ribosomal RNA is filed under the name uncultured organism. RNAcentral's name for it is "SSU rRNA". It matches the Rfam family "Bacterial small subunit ribosomal RNA". The record is from RNAcentral.
GAACGCUAGCUACAGGCUUAACACAUGCAAGUCGAGGGGCAGCAUUUUAGUUUGCUUGCAAACUGAAGAUGGCGACCGGCGCACGGGUGAGUAACACGUAUCCAACCUGCCGAUAACUCCGGAAUAGCCUUUCGAAAGAAAGAUUAAUACCGGAUAGCAUACGAAUAUCGCAUGAUAUUUUUAUUAAAGAAUUUCGGUUAUCGAUGGGGAUGCGUUCCAUUAGUUUGUUGGCGGGGUAACGGCCCACCAAGACUACGAUGGAUAGGGGUUCUGAGAGGAAGGUCCCCCACAUUGGAACUGAGACACGGUCCAAACUCCUACGGGAGGCAGCAGUGAGGAAUAUUGGUCAAUGGGCGAGAGCCUGAACCAGCCAAGUAGCGUGAAGGAUGAAGGCUCUAUGGGUCGUAAACUUCUUUUAUAUGGGAAUAAAGUUUUCCACGUGUGGAAUUUUGUAUGUACCAUAUGAAUAAGGAUCGGCUAACUCCGUGCCAGCAGCCGCGGUAAUACGGAGGAUCCGAGCGUUAUCCGGAUUUAUUGGGUUUAAAGGGAGCGUAGGUGGAUUGUUAAGUCAGUUGUGAAAGUUUGCGGCUCAACCGUAAAAUUGCAGUUGAAACUGGCAGUCUUGAGUACAGUAGAGGUGGGCGGAAUUCGUGGUGUAGCGGUGAAAUGCUUAGAUAUCACGAAGAACUCCGAUUGCGAAGGCAGCUCACUAGACUGUCACUGACACUGAUGCUCGAAAGUGUGGGUAUCAAACAGGAUUAGAUACCCUGGUAGUCCACACAGUAAACGAUGAAUACUCGCUGUUUGCGAUAUACAGUAAGCGGCCAAGCGAAAGCAUUAAGUAUUCCACCUGGGGAGUACGCCGGCAACGGUGAAACUCAAAGGAAUUGACGGGGGCCCGCACAAGCGGAGGAACAUGUGGUUUAAUUCGAUGAUACGCGAGGAACCUUACCCGGGCUUAAAUUGCAACAGAAUAUAUUGGAAACAGUAUAGCCGUAAGGCUGUUGUGAAGGUGCUGCAUGGUUGUCGUCAGCUCGUGCCGUGAGGUGUCGGCUUAAGUGCCAUAACGAGCGCAACCCUUAUCUUUAGUUACUAACAGGUCAUGCUGAGGACUCUAGAGAGACUGCCGUCGUAAGAUGUGAGGAAGGUGGGGAUGACGUCAAAUCAGCACGGCCCUCACGUCCGGGGCUACACACGUGUUACAAUGGGGGGUACAGAAGGCGGCUACCUGGUGACAGGAUGCUAAUCCCAAAAACCUCUCUCAGUUCGGAUCGAAGUCUGCAACCCGACUUCGUGAAGCUGGAUUCGCUAGUAAUCGCGCAUCAGCCAUGGCGCGGUGAAUACGUUCCCGGGCCUUGUACACACCGCCCGUCAAGCCAUGAAAGCCGGGGGUACCUGAAGUACGUAACCGCAAGGAGCGUCCUAGGGUAAAACUGGUAAUUGGGGCUAAG